AGUGAACGCUGGCGGUAGGCCUAACACAUGCAAGUCGAACGGCAGCACAGUAAGAGCUUGCUCUUACGGGUGGCGAGUGGCGGACGGGUGAGGAAUACAUCGGAAUCUACUUUUUCGUGGGGGAUAACGUAGGGAAACUUACGCUAAUACCGCAUACGACCUACGGGUGAAAGCAGGGGAUCUUCGGACCUUGCGCGAUUGAAUUAGCCGAUGUCGGAUUAGCUAGUUGGCGGGGUAAAGGCCCACCAAGGCGACGAUCCGUAGCUGGUCUGAGAGGAUGAUCAGCCACACUGGAACUGAGACACGGUCCAGACUCCUACGGGAGGCAGCAGUGGGGAAUAUUGGACAAUGGGCGCAAGCCUGAUCCAGCCAUACCGCGUGGGUGAAGAAGGCCUUCGGGUUGUAAAGUCCUUUUGUUGGGAAAGAAAAGCAGCAGGUUAAUACCCCGCUGUUCUGACGGUACCCAAAGAAUAAGCACCGGCUAACUUCGUG
Molecule: ribosomal RNA, 492 nt
Filed under: uncultured bacterium
Lineage: Bacteria
Description: partial 16S ribosomal RNA
Rfam family: Bacterial small subunit ribosomal RNA
Source: RNAcentral